Small nucleolar RNA from Ictidomys tridecemlineatus (thirteen-lined ground squirrel), 136 nucleotides. NCBI's taxonomy places the organism in Eukaryota, Metazoa, Chordata, Mammalia, Rodentia, Sciuridae. The record is from Ensembl.
UGCAGUCAAGUCAAAUUCAGCUCCCAUCUUCUCGUGGUGGAGGCUGGCCCAGAUGUCUGCUACACCAAGUUCUGCUGUUCAUGGGCCUUGUGGCCCCUGCCCUGCCACAUGGGGAUAAGUUUGUCUGUGGAUAUUG